GAUGAAGAACGUAGUGAAAUGCGAUAAGUAAUGUGAAUUGCAGAAUUCAGUGAAUCAUCGAAUCUUUGAACGCACAUUGCGCCCGCCAGUAUUCUGGCGGGCAUGCCUGUUCGAGCGUCAUUUCAACCAUCAAGCCCUGUGCUUGUGUUGGGGGCCUGCGGCUGCCGCAGCCCCCUAAAAGCAGUGGCGGGCUCGCUGUCAUUCCGAGCGCAGUAACUUAUCUCGCUUUGGUCGUGGCGGUGGGCACCUGCCGUAAAACACUCUUUUUCACAAGGUUGACCUCGGAUCAGGUAGGAAUACCCGCUGAACUUAAGCAUAUCAAUAAGCGGAGGA
RNAcentral lists this unclassified non-coding RNA (333 nucleotides) under soil metagenome. Its description in RNAcentral is "partial contains 5.8S ribosomal RNA, internal transcribed spacer 2, and large subunit ribosomal RNA". The stretch from base 1 to 120 matches the Rfam family "5.8S ribosomal RNA", at positions 35 to 154 of the family's 154-position model. The record is from RNAcentral.